UACGUAGGGUGCAAGCGUUGUCCGGAAUCAUUGGGCGUAAAGCGCGCGUAGGUGGCUUUGUAAGUCCGUUGUGAAAGUCAGAGGCUCAACCUUUGAAUGCCGAUGGAUACUGCAGAGCUAGAGUACGGAAGAGGCGAGUGGAAUUCCUGGUGUAGCGGUGGAAUGCGCAGAUAUCAGGAGGAACACCAAUAGCGAAGGCAGCUCGCUGGGACGUUACUGACACUGAGGCGCGAAAGCGUGGGGAGCGAACAGG
RNAcentral lists this ribosomal RNA (253 nucleotides) under uncultured bacterium. Its description in RNAcentral is "partial 16S ribosomal RNA". It matches the Rfam family "Bacterial small subunit ribosomal RNA", at positions 524 to 776 of the family's 1533-position model. The record is from RNAcentral.